This 450-nucleotide ribosomal RNA is filed under the name uncultured bacterium. Its description in RNAcentral is "partial 16S ribosomal RNA". It matches the Rfam family "Bacterial small subunit ribosomal RNA", at positions 354 to 796 of the family's 1533-position model. The record is from RNAcentral.
GUGGGGAAUCUUCCGCAAUGGACGAAAGUCUGACGGAGUGACGCCGCGUGAGUGAAGAAGGCCUUCGGGUCGUAAAGCUCUGUCAUCAGGGACGAACGGCCGGUGGAGUGGAAAGCCACCGGAUUGACGGUACCUGAGAAGGAAGCCACGGCUAACUACGUGCCAGCAGCCGCGGUAAUACGUAGGUGGCAAGCGUUGUCCGGAAUUAUUGGGCGUAAAGCGCGCGCAGGUGGGAUCUUAAGUCCAUUUUUAAAGUUCGGAGCUCAACUCCGUGAUGGGAUGGAAACUGGGAUUCUUGAGUACCGGAGAGGAAAGCGGAAUUCCCCGUGUAGCGGUGAAAUGCGUAGAUAUGGGGAGGAACACCAGUGGCGAAGGCGGCUUUCUGGACGGUGUCUGACACUGAGGCGCGAAAGCCAGGGGAGCGAACGGGAUUAGAAACCCCGGUAGUCC